UCUGGUUGAUCCUGCCUGAACUGAUGUGUUCAUUUCAAAGAUUAAGCCAUGCAUGUAUAAGUUUAAUCGUUUUAACGAGAAACCGCGAACGGCUCAUUACAAUGGCCAUGAUUUACUUGAUCUUGAUUAUCUAAAUGGAUAACUGUGGAAAAGCUAGAGCUAAUACAUGCACCAAAGCUUUGUCCUCUCGGAAAAGCGCAUUUAUUAGAACAAAACCACGCGGCUUCGGCUGCUUCUUGUUGACUCAGAAUAACUAAGCUGACCGCAUGGCCUUGUGCCGGCGGCGUGUCUUUCAAGCGUCCACUUUAUCAACUUGACGGGAGCAUAAUCGACUCCGUGGUGGUGACGGAUAACGGAGGAUCAGGGUUCGACUCCGGAGAAGGGGCCUGAGAAAUGGCCACUACGUCUAAGGAUGGCAGCAGGCGCGCAAAUUACCCACUCUCGGCUCGAGGAGGUAGUGACGAGAAAUAACGAGAUCGUUCUCUUUGAGGCCGGUCAUCGGAAUGGGUACAAUUUAAACCCUUUAACGAGUAUCAAGCAGAGGGCAAGUCUGGUGCCAGCAGCCGCGGUAAUUCCAGCUCUGCUAAUACAUAGAAUUAUUGCUGCGGUUAAAAAGCUCGUAGUUGGAUUCGUAUCGGUACCCUGGAACCCUCCGGGUGUUUCUGGGUGUUAUCGAUUUAUCGUAAUGUUCGGUUUUGAGUCCUUAACAGGAUUCUUAACAGGCAUUGCAAGUUUACUUUGAACAAAUCAGAGUGCUUCAAACAGGCGUUUUCGCUUGAAUGAUCGUGCAUGGAAUAAUAGAAAACGAUUUCGGUUCAGUUUUAUUGGUUUUACGGACUGAGAUAAUGGUUAACAGAGACAAACGGGGGCAUUUGUAUGGCCCCGUGAGAGGUGAAAUUCUUGGACCGUGGCCAGACAAACUACAGCGAAAGCAUUUGCCAAGAAUGUCUUCAUUAAUCAAGAACGAAAGUCAGAGGUUCGAAGGCGAUCAGAUACCGCCCUAGUUCUGACCGUAAACGAUGCCAACUAGCGAUCCGCCGAUGGAAAUUAUAUUGCCUUGGUGGGGAGCUUCCCGGAAACGAAAGUCUUCCGGUUCCGGGGAAGUAUGGUUGCAAAGCUGAAACUUAAAGGAAUUGACGGAAGGGCACCACCAGGAGUGGAGCCUGCGGCUUAAUUUGACUCAACACGGGGAAACUCACCCGGCCCGGACACUGUGAGGAUUGACAGAUUGAUAGCUUUUUCAUGAUUCAGUGGAUGGUGGUGCAUGGCCGUUCUUAGUUCGUGGAGUGAUUUGUCUGGUUUAUUCCGAUAACGAGCGAGACUCUAACCUACUAAAUAGCUGGUACAUAAUUUAAGUGUAUACAGCUUCUUAGAGGGAUUUGCGGUGUUCAGCCGAAAGAAAUUGAGCAAUAACAGGUCUGUGAUGCCCUUAGAUGUCCGGGGCUGCACGCGCGCUACACUGGCAAAAUCAACGUGCUUGUCCUACCCCGAAAGGGGCGGGUAAACCAUUGAAAAUUUGCCGUGAUUGGGAUCGGAAAUUGCAAUUAUUUUCCGUGAACGAGGAAUUCCAAGUAAGUGCGAGUCAUCAGCUCGCGUUGAUUACGUCCCUGCCCUUUGUACACACCGCCCGUCGCUGCCCGGGACUGAGCCAUUUCGAGAAAUUUGGGGACCGUUGAUUUAAUUUUUCUAAAUUACUUUGAUGGAAACCAAUUUAAUCGCAGUGGCUUGAACCGGGCAAAAGUCGUAACAAGGUAGCUGUAGGUGAACCUGCUGCUG
This 1776-nucleotide ribosomal RNA is filed under the name Meloidogyne arenaria. RNAcentral's name for it is "SSU rRNA". It matches the Rfam family "Eukaryotic small subunit ribosomal RNA". The record is from RNAcentral. Lineage: Eukaryota; Metazoa; Nematoda; Chromadorea; Rhabditida; Meloidogynidae.